GAUGAAGAACGCAGCGAAAUGCGAUAAGUAAUGUGAAUUGCAGAAUUCAGUGAAUCAUCGAAUCUUUGAACGCACCUUGCGCCCUUUGGCCAUUCCGAAGGGCAUGCCUGUUUGAGUAUCAUGAACACCUCAACUCUUUAUGGUUUUCCAUGAUGAGCUUGGACUCUGGGGGUUUUGCUGGCUCACAGUCGGCUCCUCUAAAAUGAAUCAGCUUACCAGUGUUUGGUGGGUAUCAUGGGUGUGAUAACUAUCUACGCUUGUGGUGUUUCCACCAGGUAACCUUCAGCAGUGGAGGUUCGCUGGAGCUCAUAGAUGUCUCUCCUCAGUGAGGACAGCCCUUUGAAUGUUUGAUCUCAAAUCAGGUAGGACUACCCGCUGAACUUAAGCAUAUCAAUAAGCGGAGGA
This 405-nucleotide unclassified non-coding RNA is filed under the name soil metagenome. RNAcentral's name for it is "partial contains 5.8S ribosomal RNA, internal transcribed spacer 2, and large subunit ribosomal RNA". The stretch from base 1 to 121 matches the Rfam family "5.8S ribosomal RNA", at positions 35 to 154 of the family's 154-position model. The record is from RNAcentral.